Frieseomelitta varia is the source of this 979-nucleotide long non-coding RNA. RefSeq lists it as uncharacterized. The transcript is spliced from 2 exons. The record is from RefSeq and is a predicted model, not a curated record. Lineage: Eukaryota; Metazoa; Arthropoda; Insecta; Hymenoptera; Apidae.
GAAGAGGAACAUCAGCGUCACUGUCGUUGCCACCGCCAUUGUGGCGUUCCUCCUCUUCUUGGAUGUCCUCGUUAACACGUGAAAAUCCUUUCGAGACUAUAGGAUCACACACCCAGUUGAAGACCACUCAACUGCCGCGUGUUCGUGACGGGUCCCUGCUGCCGUGGAUGCUCCCAAAAAUUGGCGCUCGUCGACUUUGGCGGUGCACUUAGGUGGUGGAAAACGGACGAUCAUUCGCGAACCGAUCAGUUGGACGUGUGUGUGUGUCAGUUUCAAAGGCGGCGAACAGGCAAACACGUUGUCAGGUCUUCGUUGGCUGUUUACCAGGUCCGAACUGUGUAUCACAAAUAAGUAAUGAAAAAGUAUUUCGAUAAUGGACGAUAACGGGUUGAGCGACGUCGUCGAUCGUCGUGCGUUGCCUCGAGCAGAGGCGCUGCCUUCUUCUCGUGAGCAACGUAUACCUCGCGACACGUACGGAUUCUCUGUCGUGACCACUCGAUAUUCCCUCGUUGGCCGUUGGCGCAGAACAGAACCCUCCGAGGCGUCUUGUCAGGUCAACUCCUACAAAGCCUCGGCCCUGCCGAGAAUUGCCAGAUGUGCAAACAUACCUCUCAUCCAAGGACACUUUCUCUAGCCUUGGAGACAGUGAGACAGUAUGUGGAAAGGCUCGGUAGGGCAUAAACAAAGCCUUGUCUAGGAAACAAGGCGCCUUGGCCGGCUCCAGAAAGUCGCCUACCAAUUAAAAGGGCGACGUAGACAUAGCGAAAAGAUGAUUCAGAGGAGUCACCAAUAGACCAUUCGAGGAGACACACGUGGACCUCUUGACGAGACACACGCAGUCCGUCCGAGGACUGACUCCGCGUCAGUUACACAUUCACUUUCAUUUACACUAAAUCAGUCAGAGUGAUUCCGCGUCGGCCACUCAUUCACUCACUCAAUUCAGUCAUUGUAUUAGUUGAGAAUAAAAGUAUUUAUUCUA